RNAcentral lists this ribosomal RNA (433 nucleotides) under uncultured bacterium. RNAcentral's name for it is "partial 16S ribosomal RNA". It matches the Rfam family "Bacterial small subunit ribosomal RNA", at positions 29 to 507 of the family's 1533-position model. The record is from RNAcentral.
AACGAACGCUGGCGGCAUGCCUAACACAUGCAAGUCGAACGAGACCUUCGGGUCUUGUGGCGCACGGGUGCGUAACGCGUGGGAACCUGCCCUUAGGUUCGGAAUAACUCCCCGAAAGGGGUGCUAAUACCGGAUAAUGUCUUCGGACCAAAGAUUUAUUGCCUUUGGAUGGGCCCGCGUUGGAUUAGCUAGUUGGUAGGGUAAAAGCCUACCAAGGCGACGAUCCAUAGCUGGUCUGAGAGGAUGAUCAGCCACACUGGGACUGAGACACGGCCCAGACUCCUACGGGAGGCAGCAGUGGGGAAUAUUGUACAAUGGGCGAAAGCCUGAUCCAGCAAUGCCGCGUGAGUGAUGAAGGCCUUAGGGUUGUAAAGCUCUUUUACCCGGGAUGAUAAUGACAGUACCGGGAGAAUAAGCACCGGCUAACUCCGUG